AUGCAAGUUUUUUUGUUUUUUUGUUUUUAAAAGCUGGCAAUAGGAAAGCCAUGUUACGAGCCUUACGGACAUUGAAGUCGUUAAGGUCCCCAAAAAUGGCUAUAACA
Molecule: small nucleolar RNA, 107 nt
Organism: Nycticebus coucang (slow loris)
Lineage: Eukaryota; Metazoa; Chordata; Mammalia; Primates; Lorisidae
Product: small nucleolar RNA SNORA33
Exons: 1
Source: RefSeq, a predicted model, not a curated record